CAGCCGCCGCGGUAAUACGAAGGGGGCUAGCGUUGCUCGGAAUUACUGGGCGUAAAGGGCGCGUAGGCGGAUAGUUAAGUCAGAGGUGAAAGCCCAGGGCUCAACCUUGGAACUGCCUUUGAUACUGGCUAUCUUGAGUUCGGGAGAGGUGUGUGGAACUCCGAGUGUAGAGGUGAAAUUCGUAGAUAUUCGGAAGAACACCAGUGGCGAAGGCGACACACUGGCCCGAUACUGACGCUGAGGCGCGAAAGCGUGGGGAGCAAAUAGGAUUAGAUACCCCGGUAGUCCCUGUCUCUUAUAC
Molecule: ribosomal RNA, 301 nt
Filed under: uncultured bacterium
Lineage: Bacteria
Description: partial 16S ribosomal RNA
Rfam family: Bacterial small subunit ribosomal RNA
Source: RNAcentral